Populus trichocarpa (black cottonwood) is the source of this 1360-nucleotide long non-coding RNA. RefSeq lists it as uncharacterized. NCBI's taxonomy places the organism in Eukaryota, Viridiplantae, Streptophyta, Magnoliopsida, Malpighiales, Salicaceae. The transcript is spliced from 3 exons. The record is from RefSeq and is a predicted model, not a curated record.
CUAUCUACCAAGUACAAAAUUGCAUCUUUUACAUAUAAUACAAAUUGAAUGUUCUAAUUUCCACAGCCUCAUUACCAAGGAGCAGCUGAUGGAUCCCUACAAUGUUGUUCGAAAUUUCAGUAGAAGCGCGGCAUAACUGUAUAAUCUGGAACUUUAGUGUGUUUUGAGGCUAAACUACACUAGACAGGCUUCUUUCUUGUCAACAAUGCAACAGCCACCUAAGUUAUUAAAAGAGGGCUCAACUUCAGCAGCCAAGAUGUAGCAAGAACUUUCAAACUCAGUCACAAAACCGAAAUCUGAACAGAAGAUCUGUUCUAGACAGGGGUUAGUGAAGAUGUUUAAAAUUUAUGUAUAAUUUGAUGUUUAGUACCACAAGAAUUGAAACUGAUGAGAUGUAGCCUUCCAGAGAAAUUAUGUUUUGGUUCACUGGCUCUCCUAAAUCGUCUAAUUGUUGCCUGUUGUACAGGGAUAACGAAGCUUUCUAAUGCAGAUCUCUUGAAUUUUGCUUUUGGUUGUGGUCAAGAUGUUGUCUUUGAUUUCAGUUCAGUUCCUAAGUUGAAGAGAUUUGUCAUUGGUGCAAACGAAAGACAGCUGCACUAUGUUUUCACUCGGUUGUCAAAACAUGUUCCCAGGAUGAGGAGUUUGACUGUCAAGACCAGGUUAUAUGCAUACCAGAAAGAAUCACCAUCUUCAAAGAUGUUGCGAAGUUAAUAGCAACACAGAAUUUGAUAUCUUGAAGAUGAUUGCUAUUCUUAGAGCCUUUCCCUCCCUGCAAAAGCUAUAUUUAGAGGUGAGGGAUGUGUGGUGCAAUUAUCCUCAAAAGGAUCCCUUUCUUUGGUUUGAGUCUAAUGCCGAGUUCACUUUUAGAGGCUCAGUUCAGAUUAGAAAUUUAAGACGAAGAGGAAGAAGAGGAAGAAGAGGAGAGGAGGGAGAAGAGCAUAUAUUUGUGAAGGAACUUCAUUAAAUGUUUAGGCUGGCUAACUUCUGACUCUACUUAAUGUCACUGCCUGUUCUAAUUGCAGACUUGUUCUUCAGAAGACAUGGGCCGAGGAAAGCUUGAGCAUAGUGAACAUGUCCAUAAGCAUCUGAAGCAAGUUGAAAUUGGUGGAUUUUAUGACACCUCAAACCAGAUUGGAUUCGCCAUUUACUUGUUGGAACAUGCUAUUUCCCUAGAGCGGAUGGUCAUCAAUCCUGUAGGGAAAUAUUGUUCUGCGUUGAGGCAGUCCUGGGAUGAAGGAGAACGUGAAAAGGCUUAUCGAAAACUGCAUGAACCUGACGAUCCACUGAAUGUAUCUGAAUCUUUAUGGGAUUCGGCAAUCAAGUUUAAACUGUUUAAUGUAUUAGGAUGUGCCCUUCCUUU